Molecule: long non-coding RNA, 258 nt
Organism: Silurus meridionalis
Lineage: Eukaryota; Metazoa; Chordata; Actinopteri; Siluriformes; Siluridae
Exons: 3
Source: RefSeq, a predicted model, not a curated record
ACACAACUUCUGACACACAAAGACGCACAAAUAUAAUGAGUAGAUAUAAUAACUUAUUUUCAAAUUUUAUUACAUUUGUUGUGUUUUUAUUUCAGAAUCGAAGCUGUUAGUCAGAGUGUUGAAACGGGAAAACGAAGAGUUGAGGAGGAGGGUAGACGAUGGUAAUACACACAAACACUUACACACUCAAACACACACACACACACCUGCUGACACACACAGACACACACUGGUAAUAUACACACACGCACACACUCA